Non-coding RNA from Oryctolagus cuniculus (rabbit), 5151 nucleotides. The record is from RefSeq and is a predicted model, not a curated record. Lineage: Eukaryota; Metazoa; Chordata; Mammalia; Lagomorpha; Leporidae.
UCGGGCAAGCGGAUGUUGUCUUAGCCAGGAAUCGGAAGUCCCGCCUCCGAAGGGGGAGGAGCAGAAGCUAGACAGCCAAUGCCGGGGGAGGAAUUCUAGGGCCGGCGCCUCCGAGAAUCCCGCGCGGGGCUGGUAAACGGAAGCAGCGCGGAGGCGGGGCUCAUGCCGGAAGUGAUCGUUCCCUGGUGGUUCCCGCAGGCUCCCUAAGAGCUGCUGUCCCUGUGUGCUUUCCAAGGCAGGUCUCAUUGUGUCACCAUCCUGAUGAAAGCAUUCUAGGGCACCCCAUGACCUGCAAGAAGAAACCCAAAUUCCUUCGCAUUCUCCAUCUUGUGCCAGUUUCCCUUGCUCAGCCGCACUCCAGCCCAGUGGAUAACACAGGGGUUCCUGAAAUCACCACAUGAGCAAGCCUUUGCCCAGAAAGUCUCUCUGCCUGGUGUGCUUCUUCUCUUCCGGCCUUCAGAUGAACUGCCAUUCCUUUCUCAAGACCCUGCUCAUCGGCUUCUUCCUCUGUCAAGGUACAUGCAAGUUUUGGAGGCUGGGAGGUUCAAUAUCAAGGUGCCAGCAGAUUCAGGGUACCUGCUGAAGGCUCACUUCCUGUCACAGGCAGCCAUCUUCUCAUUGUGUCUUCACCUUUUGAAGACUCUCAGUUUCCAAGACAGAAGGCAACUGUUGGCCCCAGAGAAGAGGAAAUCAUGAGCCAACCCCUGAGGUGCUGGUGACAUAAGUCAUUGUCAUCACAGUCAGUCCUCCGUAGCCGCGGGAUCUGCAUCACACAUUCAACCACCGGCAGAUCAGAAGUAUUCUAGGAAGAGCUGCCUCUGCCCCGAACACGUGCAGGCUUGCUUCCCGUCAUCAUUUCCUGAACAAGAUGUUGUAACAAUAGCAUCUGGAUUGCGUUAGAUCAGUCACAUAGGAAAGUGUGGAUCACGAGUUGCACACUGGAGGCCCAUAGCCAUAUCUGGCCUAUGAGCUAUCUGGCAGCUCUGGGUUCACAGUCCUGCUUGCUGACAACACACCACAGCUGGAAGCAACUUAAGCAGAAGUGGCUUCUGAUAACGAGGGGCCGUCCCCACGGUAGAGUUACAGACAAUGAGAGAGAGAGAGAAAGGUCUUCCUUCCGUUGGUUCACUCCGCAAAUGGCCACCACAGCUGGAGCUACGCCGAUCCAAAGCCAGGAGCCAGGUGCUUCCUCCUGGUCUCCCACACGGGUGCAGGAGCCUGAGAACUUGGGCCAUCCUCUACUGUCUUCCUGGGCCACAGCAGAGAGCUGGACUGGAAGAGGAGCAACAGGGACUGGAACCCAGUGCCCAUAUGGGAUGCUGGCCCCGCAGGCGGAGGAUUAACCUAGUGAGCCACCACGUCGGCCCCAUCAAAUGACUUUUCAAUAUCUAUUGAUAUUAUGAUUUUUGUCUAAAUGUUAAGCAUUUUUUUCUAAUGUUGAACCAUGUAUAUAUUUUUAUAUAAAUCCUAACAAUACCAAAUGAUAUUCUUCUUAAUCUAAUUUGCCUUUCAAAUAACAGCUACAAAACUUGCAUCCAUUUUCAUAAAUGAUUUAAGUUUCCUCUCUCCUUUAGUUUUUGUCCCUUUUUUUCUUAAGAUGUACUUAAACUAAAAUUCUUAUUGCUGCUCAAUGUGUUAACUGUUAUAUUCUUUAGUUCUUUAAAAAGUUUGUUGUAAUUUAUAUAUUUUGAUGGUUAAUUUCAUGCAUCUGGUGCUGGCACUGUGUUGGAGCAGGUUAAGCCACCACUUGUGAUGCUGGCAUACCCUAUUGGAGGGCCAGUUUGAGUCCUGGCUGCUCUGCUUCCAGUCCAGCUUCCUGCUAAUGCACCUGGGAGGUAGUAGAAUAUGGCCCAGACACUUGGGUCCCUGACACUCAUGUCAGACAUCAGCAAGGAAUUCCUGUCUCCUGGUUUAGGCCUGGCUCAACCCUGGAUAUUGUGGGCAUUUGGGGAGUGAACCAGCAGUUGGAAGAUCUCUCUGUUACCCUAUCUUUAAAAUAAAUAAAUUACUAAUUGUGUCUGUGUGUACGUGUGUGUGUGUGUGUGUGUGUGUGUAUGAAUCAACCUGAAUGGGCUAAAUUGGCUUAGCCCAGGUGUCUGGCAACACAUUAUUUCCAAGCAAGUCUGUGAGGGUGUUUCUAGAGGCAAUUAGAACUUCAUCAGUGGACUGAGUAAAGUUCUCCUGGCAAUGUGGGAAGUCACUAUCCAAUCUACUGAGGGUCCUAAUAGGACAAAAAGGUGGAGAAAGGGUGGCCUUGCAUCUCCUCUAUGUCUGGGGCACUCAUCUUCUCCUGCCCUUGGUCCUCAGCUCUUGCUUCGCUGGCAUGUGAAGUGAGUCAGGGAUUAUGGCCCGGCUACCCUGCUUCUCAGGCCUUUGGGCUAAGACUGGAACCACACCACUGGCCUCCUUGGACCCUCAGCCUGCAGAAGCUCUGUGAUGCUGUAAGCCAAUCCCUCUAAUAAACCUCUUCCUGUAGAUCUCUCUAUACGCUAUUGGCUCCAUGUCUCUGGAGAACCAUGACUAAUACACACUAUUUAUUUUAUAUUUGAACUAUAAAAUAGUUUUAUGUGAAACAUACACACACACAAUGUGUAACAUGCAUUUGUACAGUUUCAAGGAUAAUAAUAAAACCAACACCCACAAAGUCACCACCCAGAUUAAGACAUAGAAAAUCACCAGUAACUUGGAGCUGUUUCCAAAUGCAUCCCUCUCCUUCAUCUCCAAGAGAAACCACCAUCCUGAACUUUGUGUUAAUAAGCUCUUGCUUUUUGCUUAUAGCAUUUCCUCAUGGCUGUGUAUCCUUGAAUGGCUUGCUUUUGAUCUUUAGGUAUGCACGGAGAAUCACACAUGUCUGUAUUUUUGUGAUACUUCUUUUGCCUGUGGUUAUGAGUGUUAUUCACCCAGGUUGACACUGGUAGCUGGGGUACACUCGCUUUCAUGGUUGUAUCGUUUCCCAUUACACAAAUUUAUCAUCUGUUCUGUUAUUGAGUGGCACUUUUGCAUUUAAGGUUGCAAAGGAGAAAUCUGCUUUUCCUCAGUGCAAAUAGCCUGUUUUAUUUUGUUUUCCACCUGGAUAGUUAUGGGCCUUUUAUCCUUAUCUUUGACAUUCAAUGUUUGCUAGAACAAAUCCGGAUGGAUCAGAUUUGAUUAAAUUUGCCUCCUAGCGGCCCCUUUAUUUCUGUACCUGGUCAUUUUUCUCCACGUUCUAAUCCUUAGCAGGGAAGGGCUGUGGCGGGCCAGCCGAGGAACGGGUGGGUGUUGUCACAGAGACCCGGUCCCCGUGGAAGUCGUUCUGUCUCUGCACGGGAAGCAAACUUACGUUUUCUUGACCUUACCCCCCUUAGAAGUCUGGCACAUGAGGGCUGAGAAGAGGGGUGACCCCUCUGAGUAUCUGGCCUCACCCUCAGCUGAAGCCCGCAGCGGCAGCAGCACCCUUCCGUCCUCAGCAGUAGCUCUGUGCCACCAACAAGCCUGGAGCAGACACGGCCUGUCCCCUUCUCAUAGCAGUGCUGGUGUCUGAGUUUGGCCCCGCCCUUCCCAUGGUGACAGACAGUCUUACUUGGCUCUGGUCCCUGUCACACUGAGGUUGGAGUUGUUUGUCCUCUUCUGUUCCGUGGCUCAUUGCAGCCGGGGGACCUCGGGGAGCAUGUGUGAAACGCAUCAGCUCAGGUCAUCAUUGUGGACUGGAAAUGCUGCCUCUUUGACCCGUGGUGACUCUCAGAUUGCAAAGCUGGCCUUUUGUGCAUUAGUGAUGUGUCCCAGAGCCGGGUGAGGAGAGCAGAGGUGGACAGAGUUGAGAGGCAGCUGCUAUUUUCCAGUCCCUAGCUUGAGAAAAUCCCCGGCUAUUCAGCAGGUUACAAGAGAGACUGCAAGAGUGCCACCUGGGAUUGAUAGUCACCUGGGGACAGGCAUUUGUUUCUAAUGUCAAGUAAGACAGCCUUUCCCUCUUAGCCUUUGGACACCAGAAAGCAAGGCCGGCCAUGUAAAGGGGGAAAUAAGUUGAAUCGGAGGUUGGACAGUGUCCUCAAUACCCUUCCCUUCCGGAAAUUUCUUUUGAUGUUAAGGAGCGUCUGUCUCUCUAGCUCUGGAGUCCUGAGCCCUGUGCCUACGUGUUCAAUAUCACCCUGAGCUUUUCAUCAGUGUUUGAAGGAUGGGGCUGUCUUUUGAUGGCACGCAUACUUUUUUAUUGUCUCGAGGGCCUAACGAAUCAGGGCUGCCGUCCCUUUAACAAGAUCUGUGGUUAAUUCCCCUCUCGGGGUGCGAAGCGCCCUAAAUACUCAGCAUGCAGGGAAGAUGCCCCCCCCCUUUCUCCUCUGAGAAACAAGUGGGAUUAGCAAAUUGUGACUUUGCUUAUUGUUCUUAAAUAAAUUGUAUUAAAAUGUACAGGCACCUUUCCAAAAGAAGAUAAAUUAUGCAUAUUCCAAGAAGGGAAGCAAAGACAGUGAUUUUGAAAUCCCUCUGAGACGGGUCUUUUUGUUCUUCGCUGGCUGCACAAUGCAUCUCUCCAGGCAGACCUGUCUUCUCGGUGAGUCUCGGUGUCAGUGAGUUCUGAUCAGGAAUUUCGAGCUCAUCGUCCCCAUUACUGGGAGAAAGCCAAGGAUCAGCACUUUCCCUUUGAGAGUUUGCUGGUUGUGCCUUUGGGGCCUGGUUGUGGCCGGCGUGUCUUCUGCCUUGCUUGGGACAGGGUACGGCAGGAAAGGUGGUCUCAGAUUCCUCACUCACUUGAAAACUGUAUCUUCAGCCAAGAUGGAGAAAGUGCACAAAUUACAGUCAAGCGUUUCUUGGACUUUGCUGUUUAGAGGAAAAAGGGGACAGCAAAAAAACUCUUCGGCUCUUUUGAGCCUGGUGGAAUCUUGUCACACUCAUCCCUUUGCUCCCAACGCCACCCAUGGGUGCCAGCCUGAGGAGGAUGUGUCUGAUCGGAUAAUGUCCAACCGACGUUCUUUGUCAAACCUUCUGAUCACAGUGAGACGCAGAUGAGUCAAGAGAACUUGACUUCCACGUCCUCUUCCUCGUUGCCUGCACGCCUAGGCCUGGAUCAGACACUGCCCAUGCCACGCUGGCUGUGUGCACACGGCAGCAUUGUUCAGCCGUCCCUGAGGCAAAGCCCUGAGGACUGCCGGGGCCUGUGGGGCAGGGGAGAGCUGGUGU